GACGGGUGAGUAAUGCAUCGGAACGUACCCAGUCGUGGGGGAUAACGUAGCGAAAGUUACGCUAAUACCGCAUGAGACCUGAGGGUGAAAGCGGGGGAUCGCAAGACCUCGCGCUAUUGGAGCGGCCGAUAUCAGAUUAGGUAGUUGGUGGGGUAAAAGCCUACCAAGCCGACGAUCUGUAGCUGGUCUGAGAGGACGACCAGCCACACUGGGACUGAGACACGGCCCAGACUCCUACGGGAGGCAGCAGUGGGGAAUUUUGGACAAUGGGCGCAAGCCUGAUCCAGCCAUGCCGCGUGCGGGAAGAAGGCCUUCGGGUUGUAAACCGCUUUUGUCAGGGAAGAAAUCUUCUGGGCUAAUACCUCGGGAGGAUGACGGUACCUGAAGAAUAAGCACCGGCUAACUACGUG
RNAcentral lists this ribosomal RNA (410 nucleotides) under uncultured bacterium. RNAcentral describes it as "bacterial SSU rRNA". It matches the Rfam family "Bacterial small subunit ribosomal RNA", at positions 100 to 507 of the family's 1533-position model. The record is from RNAcentral.